RNAcentral lists this long non-coding RNA (211 nucleotides) under Mytilus galloprovincialis (Mediterranean mussel). The record is from RNAcentral. Lineage: Eukaryota; Metazoa; Mollusca; Bivalvia; Mytilida; Mytilidae.
AAACAAUUACAUAAACUAGUUCAUGGUGAAAUGGCCGUCACACUUACCUCUAAACUUAUAAAUGAAGCACAAUUUAAAAACCCACAUGUCAUUCCAAAUUCAAGAAAAAAGAGGAAGGGAAGAAAAAUGACAUUGGAUUGUGACGUUGAAAGAAACCAGAAGAUAAAUAUGAAAGAAAGCACGGACACAAAAUGACCAAAAGAAAAACGCC